ACAACAUAUUUUCUCUCAUUUUUUAUGUUUCUUCGUUUUCUUUUUUCUUCAGGCUCGAAAGAUCAAGAAGCUCCUCCACACCAGCUAACAACGAAUCAAAGAUAAUGCGGUGAGCGUGGAUCGAACACGCGGCCUUCAGAUCCAGUCUGACGCUCUCCCAAACUGAGCUUGGAUGGUUUUAGACAAUAACUUCAAUAUGAUUAAGUUAAAAUGUAAAAGCUUACCUCUACAAUGAGAGUUUGGGGGCUCCGGCGAUCUCGAUCAAACCACUACAGCGGC
RNAcentral lists this long non-coding RNA (279 nucleotides) under Selaginella moellendorffii. RNAcentral's name for it is "long non-coding RNA (SMOE_LNC001682)". Lineage: Eukaryota; Viridiplantae; Streptophyta; Lycopodiopsida; Selaginellales; Selaginellaceae. The record is from RNAcentral.